This 756-nucleotide ribosomal RNA is filed under the name Flavobacterium sp. RNAcentral's name for it is "bacterial SSU rRNA". It matches the Rfam family "Bacterial small subunit ribosomal RNA", at positions 90 to 849 of the family's 1533-position model. Lineage: Bacteria; Pseudomonadati; Bacteroidota; Flavobacteriia; Flavobacteriales; Flavobacteriaceae. The record is from RNAcentral.
AGAGACCGGCGCACGGGUGCGUAACGCGUAUGCAAUCUACCUUUUACAGAGGGAUAGCCCAGAGAAAUUUGGAUUAAUACCUCAUAGCAUUAUAGAAUGGCAUCAUUUUAUAAUUAAAGUCACAACGGUAAAAGAUGAGCAUGCGUCCCAUUAGCUAGUUGGUAAGGUAACGGCUUACCAAGGCUACGAUGGGUAGGGGUCCUGAGAGGGAGAUCCCCCACACUGGUACUGAGACACGGACCAGACUCCUACGGGAGGCAGCAGUGAGGAAUAUUGGACAAUGGGCGCAAGCCUGAUCCAGCCAUGCCGCGUGCAGGAUGACGGUCCUAUGGAUUGUAAACUGCUUUUAUACGAGAAGAAACACUGGUUCGUGAAGCAGCUUGACGGUAUCGUAAGAAUAAGGAUCGGCUAACUCCGUGCCAGCAGCCGCGGUAAUACGGAGGAUCCAAGCGUUAUCCGGAAUCAUUGGGUUUAAAGGGUCCGUAGGCGGUUUAGUAAGUCAGUGGUGAAAGCCCAUCGCUCAACGGUGGAACGGCCAUUGAUACUGCUAGACUUGAAUUAUUAGGAAGUAACUAGAAUAUGUAGUGUAGCGGUGAAAUGCUUAGAGAUUACAUGGAAUACCAAUUGCGAAGGCAGGUUACUACUAAUGGAUUGACGCUGAUGGACGAAAGCGUGGGUAGCGAACAGGAUUAGAUACCCUGGUAGUCCACGCCGUAAACGAUGGAUACUAGCUGUUGGAAGCAAUUUCAGUGGCUA